CUUCAAACAUUUUGGCGGGAUACCCUGCUCGUACAUUUGUGACUCCCGUUACUAAAGUAGUAAUUUCAAGAUGGCGUCGAGUAUAGGUUACUCCUUAUUUGACUACGAUUGAAUAUAAUCGAAGAUCAAUCUUAAUGUUGGAUUGUCUGUUGUGAUAGUUGAUGUUAAGCCUCGUUGGAAGAUCGUUUGGUUUCGUUGGGGAAAGAAAAAAUGGAUGAAUGAAA
Long non-coding RNA from Centruroides sculpturatus (bark scorpion), 224 nucleotides. RefSeq lists it as uncharacterized. The transcript has 2 exons. The record is from RefSeq and is a predicted model, not a curated record. Lineage: Eukaryota; Metazoa; Arthropoda; Arachnida; Scorpiones; Buthidae.